GAAGAAGCACCGGCUAACUCUGUGCCAGCAGCCGCGGUAAUACAGAGGGUGCAAGCGUUGUUCGGAAUUAUUGGGCGUAAAGCGCGUGUAGGCGGCUUUGCAAGUCGGGUGUGAAAGCCCUCAGCUCAACUGAGGAAGUGCGCCCGAAACUGCAGAGCUUGAGUGCCGGAGAGGGUGGCGGAAUUCCCCAAGUAGAGGUGAAAUUCGUAGAUAUGGGGAGGAACACCGGUGGCGAAGGCGGCCACCUGGACGGUAACUGACGCUGAGACGCGAAAGCGUGGGUAGCAAACAGGAUUAGAUACCCUGGUAGUCCACGCCGUAAACGAUGAUGACUAGCUGUCGGGGGCCAUGGGCUUUCGGUGGCGCAGCUAACGCAUUAAGUCAUCCGCCUGGGGAGUACGGCCGCAAGGUUAAAACUCAAAGAAAUUGACGGGGGCCUGCACAAGCGGUGGAGCAUGUGGUUUAAUUCGAAGCAACGCGCAGAACCUCACCAGCGUUUGACAUCCUGAUCGCGGUUACCAGAGAUGGUUUCCUUCAGUUCGGCUGGAUCAGUGACAGGUGCUGCAUG
Molecule: ribosomal RNA, 568 nt
Filed under: uncultured Cystobacterineae bacterium
Lineage: Bacteria; Pseudomonadati; Myxococcota; Myxococcia; Myxococcales
Description: bacterial SSU rRNA
Rfam family: Bacterial small subunit ribosomal RNA
Source: RNAcentral